UACAGAGGUCUCAAGCGUUGUUCGGAUUCAUUGGGCGUAAAGGGUGCGUAGGCGGCGCGGUAAGUCGGGUGUGAAAUCUCGGAGCUUAACUCCGAAACUGCAUUCGAUACUGCCGUGCUUGAGGACUGGAGAGGAGACUGGAAUUUACGGUGUAGCGGUGAAAUGCGUAGAUAUCGUAAGGAACACCAGUGGCGAAGGCGGCUAACUGGUCCGAUACUGACGCUGAGGUGCGAAAGCGUGGGGAGCAAACAGG
This 253-nucleotide ribosomal RNA is filed under the name uncultured bacterium. RNAcentral describes it as "partial 16S ribosomal RNA". It matches the Rfam family "Bacterial small subunit ribosomal RNA", at positions 524 to 776 of the family's 1533-position model. The record is from RNAcentral.